CCUUGGGUAUUCAAUGGUGAUUAUCACUUGGGUGUUGAUCAAGUUGUGUUCUUGAUUUUACAAUCAGGAGAGGUAGCAAAUAGGUUUCUCUGUGGCACGCGUGGUGAUGUGGGGAGUUCUGUCGUCCUGGUGUGUAUGGCGUGGGGCAUCCUAUGGACGAGAAACGAUCAACUUUAAACGCCAUUUUUAAUAAUGUUAUGUUUAAUAGGAUUUUUCUUAAAAUUGUCAGUGGGACUUAAACUUUUGUUUGUUUUAGAACUUUGCAUAAAACUGAUAUUUUCUUUUUAAACUUUUGUGCCCAACUUGGAUGUUUUAAGCGAGACCCCACUGAAACCUUUUUAAUAAGUGGCUUUCUAUUAUAAACCAUUGAAAAUAUGAA
Humulus lupulus (European hop) is the source of this 379-nucleotide long non-coding RNA. RefSeq lists it as uncharacterized. The record is from RefSeq and is a predicted model, not a curated record. The transcript is spliced from 2 exons. NCBI's taxonomy places the organism in Eukaryota, Viridiplantae, Streptophyta, Magnoliopsida, Rosales, Cannabaceae.